RNAcentral lists this ribosomal RNA (376 nucleotides) under uncultured bacterium. RNAcentral's name for it is "bacterial SSU rRNA". It matches the Rfam family "Bacterial small subunit ribosomal RNA", at positions 524 to 898 of the family's 1533-position model. The record is from RNAcentral.
UACGAACCGUCCAAACGUUAUUCGGAAUCACUGGGCUUAAAGGGUUUGUAGGCGGCGCUGUUAGUCGGGUGUGAAAGCCCUCGGCUCAACCGAGGAAUUGCGCCCGAUACUGCAGUGCUUGAGGGAGACAGAGGUAAGCGGAACUGAUGGUGGAGCGGUGAAAUGCGUUGAUAUCAUCAGGAACACCGGUGGCGAAAGCGGCUUACUGGGUCUCUUCUGACGCUGAGAAACGAAAGCUAGGGUAGCGAAGGGGAUUAGAUACCCCCGUAGUCCUAGCUGUAAACGUUGAGCACUUGAUCGUGGACCCCCCCAUAGGUUCUCGGUCGUAGCGAAAGUGUUAAGUGCUCCGCCUGGGGAGUAUGGUCGCAAGGCUGAA